CCUAGCUUAAGACCGUUGGCCACAAUUGCCUUAAAUUCUUGGCCUUGCUCGUCAAUUAUGCCCUCCGAGUUCACAAAUCGCUUACCAAAUGCAAGCCUUGUUAUGUUGUUGAAUGCAACUGCUCCCAAAUACUUCUUCACUAGCAAACUUUUGCCAUUGGUUUCAGGAUUGGUGCAGUCGUUGAAAAUGGAUUCAACCAUGGCACUGACCUCAUCUUCCCUAAUGGGUUUCAAAGCCU
Molecule: unclassified non-coding RNA, 238 nt
Filed under: Hevea brasiliensis (rubber tree)
Lineage: Eukaryota; Viridiplantae; Streptophyta; Magnoliopsida; Malpighiales; Euphorbiaceae
Source: RNAcentral